Molecule: long non-coding RNA, 3718 nt
Organism: Alligator sinensis (Chinese alligator)
Lineage: Eukaryota; Metazoa; Chordata; Crocodylia; Alligatoridae
Exons: 3
Source: RefSeq, a predicted model, not a curated record
UGUUUUGUAAAUUCCCUUUGAGGAUCAGAACUGAGAGACUGGAGAGAGAGUGGUUUCCUGCGCUGGCAGAAGGGGAGUCACAAAAGCUCCUUGACUCCUAACAACAGACUUGCUGUGGGGCUUAUACAUAAAAUACAGCAUUUCUAACCCAAGACAUAAUAUUCAGAGCUAAGACAAGCAGCAAUGAUUCUUACCCAACUUAGAAGUGGCUAAAUAUAGACCUUUUGAGUUAUCUGUAGGUUGAAACAUUUUUGAUGCAUAGAGGACUCCUUGGAUGACACAGAAGCAUUACAGGAAUAUGGUGGCCAUUGCAGAGUGUGGCUGAAGGAGAGUGAGAGAGGCUGUUUCAUUCACUUGCAAUUCUACCAACGUCAUAUAUGCCAUCACUCGCUCACAGUACCCCUCUGCUGUCUACAUUGGAGCAACUGGGCAAUGCCUACAUGACAAAAUGAAGGAAGGCCAAUCUGACGUGCAGAAAGAUACACAGGCCUGGGCAGAAUACUUUAACCUCCUAGACCUUAUAUUGCUGACCUGAGCUUUGCAGUUUUCAGGAAGCAAACCUUCAAAAACCAUUUUGAACAGGACAUUGCAGAACAAGAAAUCAUCCACAGGCUGAUUGUGUUAAGUAUUAAACAGGGACUAUGGAUUCUUAGCCCAUUACCUGGAUUAGUUUUUGUGACUCCUUUGUACCUUCAAGUGUUUUGCUUAUAUGUUUGCCUCUCCCAGCAUGGUCCCCUUCCCUCUCCCACCUCUCCUCUCUGCCCUUCCCUUCUCUGCUUAUGUAUUCAAAUUUCUCUCUCUUUAUGCCCAUCCUUUCAUAGCAUCUAAUGAAGUGAAUUUCAGCCCACAAAAGCUUGCUAUAGAAACAACCACACAUUCACCCACACACACACACUGAUUAGUCUAUAAGUUGCAAAUCUACUCUGCCUUCUAUGAGUACUUGUACCCUAGUGAUUCGUGGCUGCCAUAACCAGGAUUGAUGUACCACCAGGACUGCCCCAAAUGGAGAAAGGGAAGAGCAAUUUUGUGUCCCAUCUUGAGCUGAGCUCACAGCCCUUCAGCCAUCAUUUGAUCCUCAAUUGUUGUAUUUAAUAUACUGAUAUCAGAGUGAGUCAUACUUAAUUCACAAUCAAUCAGUUAUUCCAGAACUGAGUUUUUAUACACACACACGUACACACUUCAAAUAUAUUAUUUUCCCAGCAGUAUCAGUCCAAGAAGUAAAUUUAAAUGUGCAUAAGAUUUAUAAUUCUAUUUUCUGUUAGCAAUAUUGGAAUAAUCUGAGUGAUUUGUGAACAUGUCUUAGUAAUGGCUAAGAAUGAGUUCCAGUCCCUAUUGUAAACCCUUAUUUCACAUCAGAAUUAAUCAUAUGAUUUAUUUCCUCACUUCUAAAAUUGUACAUUCACUAAUACAAAGGAAUAGGUCUAUUUUACAGUUAUUUUAUCACAUUAUUGUUUUAACACAGAAACUAGUAGUAAUAACCAUUAGCAGUAAUCUAGUCCGUGUUAAAAUUUAGCCACAUAUAAAAUCUAUUAAGUAAAUCGGUUCCAACCCUAUAUGAAUGGUGAGAAAACUGAGGCACAGGCUAAGUGGCCUGCUUUCACGCAAGGAUUUCAUAAUGGGAUUAGUCUAUUUUACGCACUUCAUGCAGCAGUGCCUACCAUUCUUAAAACUGACUUCUGAAUUCCACUCUAACAUUCUAGUUGCUUUUUUGCACUACUAUCUUUCUAAAUAAAUUCCUUUUGGGAUGAAGUUUUUCUUACUGCAACUCAGGCUCAGGUCACAGUUGUGUAUGUUCAGAAAGUUUGAGCAUAAUUGGCUCUGACUUACCCUGCUUCCAGGUUCUCAUCAAUUGUAUUGUGUCUUGAUAACGGCUGUCAGUAGCAACAAUAAACUUAGAUUUGUAUAAUUCAUGCAGAGCGGGGAAACAAGCCAACUUGGAAGAAACUUGAUUUAAACACUUUUAAAACUCAAAUUAUAAAUGUGCAAAAGGCUUCAUAUAGUGUGCUAUUACGCUAUUUCUGAUCAUACUAAAAAGCAGGAAUUUGGAAUGAGCAGGAAUUUGGUAGUUUGGCUCUGAAUCAGUGUAAAUACGGAGACAGUUAAACUGAAUGGUUGAGAAUUUGAAAUUGCUGCACUCAGAAACUAUUGUCGACAGCAGUCUGGUUACACAGGUGUCAAGCCAAGUAGCUGCAGAUAAAAAACACAUCUGUGCCCCUCAUUUUGUAAAUGGUUAUGUACAUGCCUAGUUCUUUGCAUAAGUAUUUCCACUGCAGUCUUUGAAAUGCUCUGUUCAGCUGUUAGGUUAGUAUACUCACCUGGAAGGAGAAUGUCUUUGCUUGAAGGACUAUUCAACAUGAAAUCCAUAAUUUGUCCUUGGAGUCCAUGUGAGGAGUACUAUUGACUUAAGUGGAAUAACUCAGCUGGCGAAAGUUUUUCACAUGAUAAAUAUUUAAGGAGUUUAUAUUCCCUCUUCCCGGCUUCCCCAUGCUCUGACUGCAAACAAACAUGUCCUUAUGCCUUCGCAGACAUGUACCACAGGUUGAGGCACAGCCAAGGGACACCAGAUUAGGCUCCUAAAGCCCUGGGAGUUUCAGGCACCUGACCCUACAAGGCAAUGUCAGUAGACACCAAUGAAGCAGAUCAUCUGCGCCAGGAUACAUGAUACAGAAUAGAUGAUUCUCAUCCAAAGACAACAUCUGUUUAUACCCUUCAAGAACAUUUCUGGAAAUUUUUCAACCCUCAUACUGAGAACUCAAAAAUUAAACAGUCAGGAUUAGACUUCAUAGACAUUAGGACUGGAAGGGACCUCGGAAAAUCAUCGAGUCCAGCCCCCUGCCCGAGGGGCAGGAAGACAUGAGCUGUUCAGACAGAAGGAUCCUCAUUAAGUCUGCAUCCUCAUGCACGUACCUGGACAUGCAGUGAAGCAGAUCCUUUGUCUUGAUCUGCUCCCUUUGUGCUCCGGUCUGAACAUGAACCAAGAAUGUAGCUAGGAAUGGACGUUUGGGUGCGCACAACCAAGGGGCUAGAAUAUAUCACAGAAGAUCAAAUUAUUACAUUGCAAAUUAUUUAAGACAAUUAAAACAUUGAAUAUUGCCCCCUGCAUAUCCUGGAACCCACAGAGUACCAAAUGAAGGGAAAGGAAAAACGUUCCUGGAUUUUUUUUAAAAAGGGUAUUCAAAUUUGCUUAUUUAAGGACGGUUCAAAAUUAACUGAGUGGGCAGUAGCCUGGCUGGGGUCUCUCAGACAUCCAUUUUUUGGUAGAAAUCGAUGGAAACCAUCCAUAAAACCUUGCUAGAGAUUCUCCUAACAGCGAGUAAUUCCCAAUGAUCAAAGAGCUAGCAUGGUUUAAAGGAAACUGAGGAACAGGAAGUGUACGCUGCCAUUCAUCCCGUAAAUCUAGAGCACACAGAGGGAUGGGGGUCUAAGUGGUAACUGUACAGCAAGCUCAAGACAAAAAAGCUCUCCAAGUUCAAGCAACAGAGGUAAAUGUACAGCUGCAGGGAGAAGAUGUAUAGAGACAACACCUCUUGAAAAAUUCUAGUCAUUGGUAAAUCAUUCAUCUUUUUCUUCUUAAAGUCACUUACAUCUUUUUUUUUUGCAAUAUUUUAUUAAUUUUAUGAAUAUUUUAUUUGCCUCUAUUGACAGAAGAAAUCUUUUUUUUGGCUACGAUGAACAACUUAAUAAUGCUAUGUUUGUCAGAAAUAAAAACUUACGCAGC